CUGUGAAUCCCAUGAUUAAGAUUGUGAAUCCCCACCGCGAUCACGGUUACGUUCACCAUAAAAUGUACAGAAUGGCUGUAAGUGUUGCCAAUCUCAAUACGACGGAAUAUUAGAAUGACGACAUUUAACUAAUCAAUAGCAAAUUAGUCUUCAUUCAAAACUAUAAAAAAAUGGUGGAUUUAGUAUUACGUAGUAUUUUAUAACUUGUCUUUAUUUGAUUAACAUAAAUAAACGAUGACACCGUCGUCAUAUAAAUUACAUUAAAAGUGCAGCAAAAACUAUUUGUGGAGGUUAUGUUGGUACACACGAUAAGCUCUGCAUAUAAGCUGUACUGAAAUCUCCGCCAACCACUCACUCCUUCGUUGUGUGUACAUUAUCGAACUAGUGCUGAACUAACAAUCGCUAUGGAUAACGUAUCCAGGAAAGAGGCCCAUCAAGCAAUUGACAAGGCAGGAGAAACGAUAGGAAAGGUCCCCGGAGGAAGAGAGGUCAUGGGAUUUGGGCAGAAAAGGACCUGAUAAGGGCGGCCUUGCUGCAAAGGCCCAGGAACAUGUUGGGGACGUCCAAAAGGGCACAACAUUUGCGCAUUUGCAGAGAGACGCCAUGAAGAAGUAGAGGUGGUGUAACGUGUAGCAGUGUUCAGUUACAUUGAUAUUCCAUAAUAUUAUAAUCUUUGUUCCACAAAAAUGAUAAUGUAUUCUAUUUUUAUCUUUAAAAUAUUUUCAUGAACACUGUGCACUUCUCAUGUAGUAAAAUCUGAUGUUUUAAAA
This 770-nucleotide long non-coding RNA is filed under the name Homalodisca vitripennis (glassy-winged sharpshooter). RNAcentral's name for it is "uncharacterized LOC124373593". Lineage: Eukaryota; Metazoa; Arthropoda; Insecta; Hemiptera; Cicadellidae. The record is from RNAcentral.